UACGUAGGGUGCAGGCGUUAAUCGGAAUUACUGGGCGUAAAGCGUGCGCAGGCGGUUUGCUAAGACAGGUGUGAAAUCCCCGGGCUUAACCUGGGAACUGCGCUUGUAACUGGCAAGCUAGAGUGUGGCAGAGGGGGGUGGAAUUCCACGUGUAGCAGUGAAAUGCGUAGAGAUGUGGAGGAACACCGAUGGCGAAGGCAGCCCCCUGGGCUAACACUGACGCUCAUGCACGAAAGCGUGGGGAGCAAACAGGAUUAGAAACCCCAGUAGUCC
RNAcentral lists this ribosomal RNA (273 nucleotides) under uncultured bacterium. RNAcentral describes it as "partial 16S ribosomal RNA". It matches the Rfam family "Bacterial small subunit ribosomal RNA", at positions 524 to 796 of the family's 1533-position model. The record is from RNAcentral.